GACGAACGCUGGCGGCGUGCUUAACACAUGCAAGUCGAACGGAAAGGCCCUGCUCUUGUGGGGUGCUCGAUUGGCGAACGCGUGAGUAACACGUGAGUAACCUGCCCUUGACUUUGGGAUAACUUCAGGAAACUGCGGCUAAUACCCGAUAGGAGCUCCUGCUGCAUGGUGUGGGUUGGAAAGUUUCGGCGGUUGUGGAUGGACUCGCGGCUUAUCAGCUUGUUGGGGGGGUAGUUGCUUACCAAGGCUUUGACGGGUAGCCGGCCUGAGAGGGUUAACGGGCACAUUGGGACUGCGAGACGGCGCAGACGCGAACGGGAGGCAGCAGUGGGGAAUAUUGCACAAUGGGCGGAAGCGUGAGGCAGCAACGCCGCGUGCGGGAUGCCGGCCUUCGGGUUGUAAACCGAUUUCGCAUGUGACGAGGCGUGAGUGACGGUAAUGGGUAAAGAAGCAACGGCUAACUACGUG
RNAcentral lists this ribosomal RNA (468 nucleotides) under uncultured bacterium. RNAcentral describes it as "partial 16S ribosomal RNA". It matches the Rfam family "Bacterial small subunit ribosomal RNA", at positions 28 to 507 of the family's 1533-position model. The record is from RNAcentral.